UAUGCACCCUUCUCACUGCCAGUUGGACUUAAUCUUAGUUGGUCAUUCAAAUAGGGCAAAGUAAGGUCCUUUUAAAACUCAAGCAAAUUGGAGUUUGUCUUUUAUACUGUCAGAGGAAACAGCA
This is a small nucleolar RNA of Sorex araneus (European shrew), 124 nucleotides long. Ensembl annotates it as small nucleolar RNA, H/ACA box 27. The record is from Ensembl. NCBI's taxonomy places the organism in Eukaryota, Metazoa, Chordata, Mammalia, Eulipotyphla, Soricidae.